RNAcentral lists this ribosomal RNA (815 nucleotides) under Hypomyces aurantius. RNAcentral's name for it is "partial large subunit ribosomal RNA". It matches the Rfam family "Eukaryotic large subunit ribosomal RNA", at positions 72 to 917 of the family's 3401-position model. The record is from RNAcentral. Lineage: Eukaryota; Fungi; Ascomycota; Sordariomycetes; Hypocreales; Hypocreaceae.
GGAUUGCCCCAGUAACGGCGAGUGAAGCGGCAACAGCUCAAAUUUGAAAUCUGGCCCCUAGGGCCCGAGUUGUAAUUUGCAGAGGAUGCUUUUGGCAAGGCGCCGCCCGAGUUCCCUGGAACGGGACGCCGCAGAGGGUGAGAGCCCCGUCUGGCUGGACGCCGAGCCUUUGUAAAGCUCCUUCGACGAGUCGAGUAGUUUGGGAAUGCUGCUCUAAAUGGGAGGUAUAUGUCUUCUAAAGCUAAAUAUUGGCCAGAGACCGAUAGCGCACAAGUAGAGUGAUCGAAAGAUGAAAAGCACUUUGAAAAGAGGGUUAAACAGUACGUGAAAUUGUUGAAAGGGAAGCGCUCAUGACCAGACUUGGGCUUGGCGGAUCAUCCGGCGUUCUCGCCGGUGCACUUCGCCUCGCCCAGGCCAGCAUCAGUUCGCCCCGGGGGACAAAAGCUUCGGGAAUGUGGCUCCUCCGGGAGUGUUAUAGCCCGUGGCACAAUACCCUGGGGCGGACUGAGGUUCGCGCGUCCGCAAGGAUGCUGGCGUAAUGGUCAUCAGCGACCCGUCUUGAAACACGGACCAAGGAGUCGUCCUCGUAUGCGAGUGUUCGGGUGUCAAACCCCUACGCGUAAUGAAAGUGAACGCAGGUGAGAGCUUCGGCGCAUCAUCGACCGAUCCUGAUGUUCUCGGAUGGAUUUGAGUAAGAGCAUACGGGGCCGGACCCGAAAGAAGGUGAACUAUGCCUGUAUAGGGUGAAGCCAGAGGAAACUCUGGUGGAGGCUCGCAGCGGUUCUGACGUGCAAAUCGAUCGUCAAAUAUGGGCA